This 496-nucleotide ribosomal RNA is filed under the name uncultured bacterium. RNAcentral describes it as "partial 16S ribosomal RNA". It matches the Rfam family "Bacterial small subunit ribosomal RNA", at positions 28 to 506 of the family's 1533-position model. The record is from RNAcentral.
GAUGAACGCUGGCGGCGUGCCUAAUACAUGCAAGUCGAGCGAACAGACGAGGAGCUUGCUCCUCUGACGUUAGCGGCGGACGGGUGAGUAACACGUGGAUAACCUACCUAUAAGACUGGGAUAACUUCGGGAAACCGGAGCUAAUACCGGAUAAUAUAUUGAACCGCAUGGUUCAAUAGUGAAAGACGGUUUUGCUGUCACUUAUAGAUGGAUCCGCGCCGCAUUAGCUAGUUGGUAAGGUAACGGCUUACCAAGGCAACGAUGCGUAGCCGACCUGAGAGGGUGAUCGGCCACACUGGAACUGAGACACGGUCCAGACUCCGACGGGAGGCAGCAGUGGGGAAUAUUCCGCAAUGGGCGAAAGCUUGACGGAGCAACGCCGCGUGAGUGAUGAAGGUCUUCGGGUCGUAAAGCUCUGUUAUUGGGGAAGAACAAAUGUGUAAGUAACCAUGCACGUCUUGACGGUACCCAAACAGAAAGCCACGGCUAACUACGU